CUAAUUUCUUAGUUCCCAGAUUAAUAUAAAUAAUGAAAUUUAACGGAUUUGGCGGCAAAGCAGCCUUUUAGAGGAACCUGCCCUUUAAUCGAUGGUCCACGAGUCACUGUACUUUCUCUUGUUUUCAGUUUGUAUACCGCUGUUGUCAGUUAGUUUCUUUAGAAAUCUAUCAAUAAUAUAAAAAGUAUUAACUUCAAGUAAAGGUGCAGCUAAUGAGGAAGUCUGAGGUGGGUUACAUUUGAAUUGAGCAAGCACGAAAUUUAAAAUGAAAAUUUUUAUUGAAGGUGGAUUUAAAAGUAAAAUUUAGGUGAUUUGAUGAUAGGAAAUGCUUUGUGUACAAACCGCCCGUC
This 350-nucleotide ribosomal RNA is filed under the name Heteralepas newmani. RNAcentral describes it as "partial 12S ribosomal RNA". The record is from RNAcentral. Lineage: Eukaryota; Metazoa; Arthropoda; Thecostraca; Heteralepadidae.